GAUGAACGCUAGCUACAGGCUUAACACAUGCAAGUCGCGGGGCAGCAUGGGGGUUGCUUGCAAUCCCCGAUGGCGACCGGCGCACGGGUGAGUAACGCGUAUCCAACCUGCCCUUCACCACGGGAUAACCCGGCGAAAGUCGGACUAAUACCGUAUGUUGUCCAUUGACGGCAUCCGAUUUGGACGAAAGGGUUGCCGGUGAAGGGUGGGGAUGCGUCCGAUUAGCUGGACGGCGGGGGGACGGCCCACCGUGGCGACGAUCGGUAGGGGUUCUGAGAGGAAGGUCACCCACACUGGAACUGAGACACGGUCCAGGCUCCUACGGGAGGCAGCAGUGAGGAAUAGUGGUCAAUGGGCGUAAGCCUGAACCAGCCAAGUAGCGUGCAGGAUGACGGCCCUAUGGGUUGUAAACUGCUUUUAUGCGGGGAUAAAGUGGCCCACGUGUGGGUUUUUGCAGGUACCGCAUGAAUAAGGACCGGCUAAUUCCGUG
This 490-nucleotide ribosomal RNA is filed under the name uncultured bacterium. Its description in RNAcentral is "partial 16S ribosomal RNA". It matches the Rfam family "Bacterial small subunit ribosomal RNA", at positions 28 to 507 of the family's 1533-position model. The record is from RNAcentral.